Molecule: ribosomal RNA, 253 nt
Filed under: uncultured bacterium
Lineage: Bacteria
Description: partial 16S ribosomal RNA
Rfam family: Bacterial small subunit ribosomal RNA
Source: RNAcentral
UACGAGGGGUGCAAGCGUUAUUCGGAUUUAUUGGGCGUAAAGGGUGUGUAGGUGGUAUGUUAAGUCUGUUGUUAAAUUUUCCGGCCUAACCGGAAACAUGCAGUGGAAACUGGCGCACUUGAGGAUGGAAGAGGGAAGUGGAAUUCUCGGAGUAGCGGUAAAAUGCGUGGAUCUCGAGAGGAACACCGAUGGCGAAGGCAGCUUCCUGGUCCAUACCUGACACUGAGACACGAAAGCGUGGGGAGCAAACAGG